CCUACGGGAGGCAGCAGUGAGGAAUAUUGGUCAAUGGCCGGAAGGCUGAACCAGCCAAGCCGCGUGAAGGACGAAGGUGCCAAGCAUUGUAAACUUCUUUUGUCAAGGGACAAAAUCAGGCUCGAGAGCCUGACCGAGGGUACUUGAAGAAAAAGCAUCGGCUAACUCCGUGCCAGCAGCCGCGGUAAUACGGAGGAUGCGAGCGUUAUCCGGAUGUAUUGGGUUAAAAGGGUGCGUAGGCGGACUGUUAAGUCAGCGGUAAAAGCCCGGGGCUAAACCCCGGCGAGCCGUUGAAACUGGCUGUCUUGUGAUGUCGAGAGGUAUGCGGAAUGCGCAGUGUAGCGGUGAAAUGCUUAGAUAUCAGGAGGAACAUCGGUGGCGUAAGCGCUUUACUGGGCCGUAAUUGACACUGAGGAACGAAAGCCGGGGUAGCAAAUGGGAUUAGAUACCCUGGUAGUC
RNAcentral lists this ribosomal RNA (459 nucleotides) under uncultured bacterium. Its description in RNAcentral is "partial 16S ribosomal RNA". It matches the Rfam family "Bacterial small subunit ribosomal RNA", at positions 338 to 795 of the family's 1533-position model. The record is from RNAcentral.